This 403-nucleotide ribosomal RNA is filed under the name Fusobacteriota bacterium. Its description in RNAcentral is "Fusobacteria bacterium partial 16S ribosomal RNA". It matches the Rfam family "Bacterial small subunit ribosomal RNA", at positions 355 to 776 of the family's 1533-position model. The record is from RNAcentral. Lineage: Bacteria; Fusobacteriati; Fusobacteriota.
UGGGGAAUUUUGCACAAUGGAGGAAACUCUGAUGCAGCGACGCCGCGUGAGUGAUGAAGAUCUUCGGAUUGUAAAACUCUGUCCUUAGUGAAGAUAAUGACAGUAACUAAGAAGCAAGCCCUGGCUAAAUACGUGCCAGCAGCCGCGGUAAUACGUAUGGGGCAAGCGUUGUCCGGAAUUAUUGGGCGUAAAGGGUACGUAGGCGGUUUAAUAAGUCCUAAUUAAAUGGCUAUGGCUCAACCAUAGUAUGGUUAGGAAACUGUUGAACUUGAGUAGAUGAGGGGAAAGUGGAAUUCCAUGUGUAGCGGUGAAAUGCGUAGAUAUAUGGAGGAACACCAAUGGCGAAGGCAACUUUCUGGAAUCAAACUGACGCUGAGGUACGAAGGCGUGGGGAGCAAACAGG